CCACUUGGGCUUGUAGCCCAGUGGUGAACCAUUGCCCUCAAAGUUAAGCAUGACUAUGAGGGCAAUGGUUCGAGUCCCCACGGACUCAACCUCCCUCAAUUAAAUAUAAUUGUGUGGAGACUUCUUACAACGUCUUCCUUGCGAAAUGCGAGUGGAGUAGAGACAUCUCUCCUUAAUUGUGUGGAGACUUCUUACAACGUCUUCCUUGCGAAAUGUGAGUGGAGUAGAGACAUCUCUCCUCUGUGAGGGGUAUUUGGAUGGGCAUGUACUUCAUAGAAUAAAAAAUAUCAGUGUAAUGACCUGUUUGGAUGGGCACAUCUCUCCUCUGUGAGGGGUAUUUGGAUGGGCAUGUACUUCAUAGAAUAAAAAAUAUCAGUGUAAUGACCUGUUUGGAUGGGCAUGUACUUUUUGGAUGGGCAUGUACUUCAUAGAAUAAAAAAUAUCAGUGUAAUGACCUGUUUGGAUGGGCAUGUACUUCAUAGAAUAAAAAAUAUCAAUGUAAUGACCUGCUGUCAUAGCAGUUGUAUAUAUCUCUGUGUAAUACAAUAACCAACUGAUGCUUAAUCAGUUUCAAAAAAAAAAAAAAAAAUAGCGUAAUGAUAUUAUACUAUCAAAACACAUGUUUUAUAGCUUUAUUGGAUUGUAAUAUAAAUCCGGG
Molecule: long non-coding RNA, 658 nt
Filed under: Citrus maxima (pomelo)
Lineage: Eukaryota; Viridiplantae; Streptophyta; Magnoliopsida; Sapindales; Rutaceae
Description: long non-coding RNA (CMAX_LNC000580)
Source: RNAcentral